AUUGAACGCUGGCGGCAGGCCUAACACAUGCAAGUCGAGCGGAUGAAGGGAGCUUGCUCCUGGAUUCAGCGGCGGACGGGUGAGUAAUGCCUAGGAAUCUGCCUGGUAGUGGGGGAUAACGUCCGGAAACGGGCGCUAAUACCGCAUACGUCCUGAUGGAGAAAGUGGGGGAUCUUCGGACCUCACGCUAUCAGAUGAGCCUAGGUCGGAUUAGCUAGUUGGUGGGGUAAAGGCCUACCAAGGCGACGAUCCGUAACUGGUCUGAGAGGAUGAUCAGUCACACUGGAACUGAGACACGGUCCAGGCUCCUACGGGAGGGAGCAGUGGGGAAUGUUGGACAAUGGGCGAAAGCCUGAUCCAGCCAUGCCGCGUGUGUGACGAAGGUCUUCGGAUUGUAAAGAACUUUAAGUUGGGAGGAAGGGCAGUAAGUUGAUACCUUGCUGUUUUGACGUUACCAACUGAAGAAGCACCGGCUAACUUCGUG
RNAcentral lists this ribosomal RNA (484 nucleotides) under uncultured bacterium. Its description in RNAcentral is "partial 16S ribosomal RNA". It matches the Rfam family "Bacterial small subunit ribosomal RNA", at positions 30 to 507 of the family's 1533-position model. The record is from RNAcentral.